UACGUAGGGUGCGAGCGUUGUCCGGAAUUACUGGGCGUAAAGAGCUCGUAGGUGGUUUGUCGCGUCGUCUGUGAAAUUCCGGGGCUUAACUUCGGGCGUGCAGGCGAUACGGGCAGACUUGAGUGCUGUAGGGGAGACUGGAAUUCCUGGUGUAGCGGUGAAAUGCGCAGAUAUCAGGAGGAACACCGGUGGCGAAGGCGGGUCUCUGGGCAGUAACUGACGCUGAGGAACGAAAGCGUGGGGAGCGAACAGGAUUAGAUACCCGGGUAGUCCCU
This 275-nucleotide ribosomal RNA is filed under the name uncultured prokaryote. RNAcentral describes it as "partial 16S ribosomal RNA". It matches the Rfam family "Bacterial small subunit ribosomal RNA", at positions 524 to 798 of the family's 1533-position model. The record is from RNAcentral.